GGGGCCGGGGCGGCCGGGCGGCCAUUGCUUGCUAACCCUAAACUUAGGAGCGUAGGCGCGUUGCUUUGGGUCCAUGCCCGCUGUUUUUCUCGCUGACUUUCAGCGGGUGAAAAAGGCAAACGGCCUACCGCUCAUCGCCGUUUCGUUUGUAGACAAAAAAAAAAUGUCAGCUGCUGGCCCGCUCGGCUCCCCGGAGCCUGCGCCCGCGAGCCCGCGCCGCCCCCGCGCCCGCCUGAGGCCGCGGUCGGUCGGGGCUCCCCGGGGCGCCCGAUGCCGUCGCGAAGAGUUCGGGCUCUGUCAGCCGCGGGGCCGCGGGGGCUGCGGGCGCGCCUCUCGCAGGCAGAGAAACGGAGGCGACCCUGCACGUGCGCUUCCCUGAGCUGUGGGACCCGCACGGGGCCGGCUCCGACACGC
Molecule: telomerase RNA, 414 nt
Filed under: Sorex araneus (European shrew)
Lineage: Eukaryota; Metazoa; Chordata; Mammalia; Eulipotyphla; Soricidae
Description: Vertebrate telomerase RNA (ENSSARG00000014631.1)
Rfam family: Vertebrate telomerase RNA
About the family: Telomerase is a ribonucleoprotein reverse transcriptase that synthesises telomeric DNA. Telomerase RNAs differ greatly in sequence and structure between vertebrates, ciliates and yeasts, but they share a 5' pseudoknot structure close to the template sequence.
Source: RNAcentral